Molecule: long non-coding RNA, 1899 nt
Organism: Gavialis gangeticus (Gharial)
Lineage: Eukaryota; Metazoa; Chordata; Crocodylia; Gavialidae
Exons: 2
Source: RefSeq, a predicted model, not a curated record
UCUAACCACUAGGCAAGACCACCUGGUUUUCUGACAAAAAACAGUUGCUGGAAACUUCCGUGUGCAUCAUGUGUGAGAAAUAUUUGGGAGGACACUGGAGCAGAUUGUGCCUGACGAAUGGCUGACUCGACGGACCACCCUUCCAGUGACAUAGACAACUGUCAUCCCUUUGCCUUCCAUUGCCCCAGCAGAGCAUCUGGCCCUGUGAAUAAAGCUCCGAUGAUUGAGACUCCUCCAGCAGUUUCCAGGUCCCCAAAGCCACAUUCUCAAAUGAAGAGUUGGGACCCCAGCUGGGGCCAUGGGACUAGCAGAAAUGGGGGCACAACCAGCGGCAAUCAGGAUUCUGCUGCCCAAGAUCACCUCUGGUGCUUGCAAUAGGAUUUCUGGGCAGCUCAGAUAGCAAAGGGUGAUUGUUUUGCCAAGGGCAUUGCACUGCUCAGCUGUGAUGGGCUUAGUGUUCCCACCCAGCCCUAUUUCUGUCCUUCAGUUGGCUCAAUGACCCCUAGAUGUGAAUUUUAUAUACAGCAAUGGCCAAUUCUUAAUAUCUGCUUCUGGGGUGGAGGAGGGGCAGGGCCUGUGCCAGUGAAAUAUGAAUAUUUGUGGCACAUGAAUACAUGGAGAUAUGAGCACAGUGGGUGCUGAGCAGGCCCAGACUGAGGGCAUCCAGCCCAGUGCCCUGUGUCAGACAGCACCCAGCACUUGCUGUUUCAAAGAAAGGUGCAACUGUUACCCCCCUUGUGGACUCUGGUGGAAUAACCCACCCAUGGUGAAGGUCUUUUAUGCAGGAUUUACCCAGCUCCAGGUGGGACCCAAGGCCUCUGCCUGUGCUGCAAAAAGGGGCCCUUGGAUCCAAAGCCAAUGACAGUUGUUGCCUCUGCUCUGGGAGCCUCUCUCUGUCCAAAUUUCAAGUGCAUUUGUGAUGACACAAAGCAUCAAAGCUCCAUCCAAACUGAGGGUCCUGGGAGCCGUUAUCAUCCACAGCCAGGCUGUGAGCUCUCAAGGGGGCUGGGUUCAGGGGAAGAAAAAGAUUAGCUUGGAGCCAAGCCCACCUCUGCCCUCCAGUCUGCCAGCCCUGGUGCUCUCAGAGUGAUGCAAGCACAUGCCGCUGUGGAGAGAGCAGGACAGCCAGAGGGAGCAGCCCAGAUCUCAGAUCUGGCCCAGGGGCUGGCCUAUGCUCUAGGAGAGGCGGCUGCAUGGUGGGGUCUAGGUCUUGGAAAGGGGUAAUGCUCCCAGGGAGAAGUAGUGCCAGCACAGCAAGUGGCUUCAGGUUCAAAUCCCAAUGACCCCUUGGUACUAGGAGCAUUUGGCAAGUUCAGGCUCAUACUAAGGUGCAGGGUCUGUGGAUGCUGCAAUUGCUGCAGCUGUGCAGGCACAACCCAGCUGGUUUGAACACAGCUAGAGGGUUAGUCAGAGCAAGCUUAUACACAGGGGGUUCUCACUCAGCCACUUGGUGGCUUUUCAGUCUGUGGUGCUGUGGAUAUGCUGCUAGCAAUAGCAGCCCCUGCACCCCUUGUCUUCUUCUUAUCUCAAUGCUGUCUAUACACCCUGCGGUCUACACACCCUUUUGUAGACAGGCCCCACGAAUCAGAUUAACUGAGGUGCUUAACCUUCUGGCUCUGCAGGUCAGAUGAGUGGGACAGGGCUGGAUCCCACACCCGGGGUUAAUCCAGGGACUGGAUCUUCAGAGGAACAGGAAGUCCUAUGGAGCCCAUCAGCAACAGUGAUGCCUCUCUCCCCUUCCACUUCCCCCACCCUGAGCUCCAGGAUGACAAGAGCUGUGUAAAACCCUGCCAGUAACAUCUUAUAAAAUGUUCCAUCUCUGCCGUGGCUCAGCCAGGCCAGGGGGCUCUGGUGCAUUUUAAUUCCUUUGUUCCAUAUAACAAAGUUGCUCAUAGCUGU